GCUGGGCAUGGUGUGUGUGCCUGUAGUCCCAACUACUCAGGAGACUGAGGUGGGAAAAUCGCUUGAGCCCAGGAGUUCUGGGCUGUAGUGCGCUAUGCUGAUCAGGUGUCCGCACUAAGAUCAGCAUCAACUCAGUGACCUCCAAGGAGCAGGGGAGCACCAGGUUGCCUAAGGAGGAGUGAACCGGCCCAGGUUGGAAACAGAGCAGGUCAAAACUCCCGUGCUGAUCAGUAAUGGGAUCGUGCCUGUGAAUAGCCACUGCACUCUAGCCUGGGCAACAUAGCGAGACCCUGUCUCU
This is an unclassified non-coding RNA of Cebus imitator (Panamanian white-faced capuchin), 298 nucleotides long. It matches the Rfam family "Metazoan signal recognition particle RNA". Rfam says of the family: The signal recognition particle (SRP) is a universally conserved ribonucleoprotein. It is involved in the co-translational targeting of proteins to membranes. The record is from Ensembl. Lineage: Eukaryota; Metazoa; Chordata; Mammalia; Primates; Cebidae.